RNAcentral lists this long non-coding RNA (212 nucleotides) under Elaeis guineensis (African oil palm). RNAcentral describes it as "long non-coding RNA (EGUI_LNC048331)". Lineage: Eukaryota; Viridiplantae; Streptophyta; Magnoliopsida; Arecales; Arecaceae. The record is from RNAcentral.
CCCCCCACGCCUCCCUCUCUCUUCUCCCUUUGGUUCACACAUCCAAGCUCUUGGACAUCCCACCAUCUCCAACGCCCAAGGAGCUUGGGCAUCUUCACCUUCUUGCUGGUUGCUAGUCCUGAUUGCUUCAAGGAUCAAGCAAAGAGAGAUCAAUAGAAGAAGAGGAAAAGAAAGAUCAAGGAGAGAUCAAGAGUUAAUCAAAGGAUCCAGGC